GACGAACCGUGCGAACGUUGUUCGGAAUCACUGGGCUUAAAGGGCGCGUAGGCGGGCCAUCAAGUCAGGGGUGAAAUACCUCAGCUUAACUGAGGAACAGCUUUUGAUACUGGUGGCCUCGAGGGGGGUAGGGGCAUGCGGAACUUCCGGUGGAGCGGUGAAAUGCGUAGAUAUCGGAAAGAACACCAACGGCGAAAGCACUCUGCUGGGCCGACACUGACACUGAGAGACGAAAGCUAGGGGAGCGAAUGGG
This 253-nucleotide ribosomal RNA is filed under the name uncultured bacterium. Its description in RNAcentral is "partial 16S ribosomal RNA". It matches the Rfam family "Bacterial small subunit ribosomal RNA", at positions 524 to 776 of the family's 1533-position model. The record is from RNAcentral.